RNAcentral lists this transfer RNA (70 nucleotides) under Ictidomys tridecemlineatus (thirteen-lined ground squirrel). RNAcentral's name for it is "Spermophilus tridecemlineatus (thirteen-lined ground squirrel) tRNA". It matches the Rfam family "tRNA". From Rfam's summary of the family: Transfer RNA (tRNA) molecules are approximately 80 nucleotides in length. Their secondary structure includes four short double-helical elements and three loops (D, anti-codon, and T loops). Lineage: Eukaryota; Metazoa; Chordata; Mammalia; Rodentia; Sciuridae. The record is from Rfam by way of RNAcentral.
GGAGAGAUAGCUCAGUUGGUAGGGUGCUUGCCUAGUAUGCAUAAGAACCUGGGUUCAAUCCCCAGCACCA